This 253-nucleotide ribosomal RNA is filed under the name uncultured bacterium. Its description in RNAcentral is "partial 16S ribosomal RNA". It matches the Rfam family "Bacterial small subunit ribosomal RNA", at positions 524 to 776 of the family's 1533-position model. The record is from RNAcentral.
GACGUAGGGGGCCAGCGUUGUCCGGAAUCAUUGGGCGUAAAGCGCGUGUAGGCGGCCCGGUAAGUCCGCUGUGAAAGUCCAGGGCUCAACCCUGGGAUGCCGGUGGAUACUGUCGGGCUCGAGUCCGGAAGAGGAGAGUGGAAUUCCUGGUGUAGCGGUGAAAUACGCAGAUAUCAGGAAGAACACCAAUGGCGAAGGCAGCUCUCUGGGACGGUACUGACGCUGAGACGCGAAAGCGUGGGGAGCGAACAGG